UUUAUUUAGAGUUUGAUCCUGGCUCAGGACGAACGCUGGCGGCGUGGAUAAGGCAUGCAAGUCGUACGAUUCUGUCAUUUGUAUAGCAAUAUAUAGAAGACAGGAUAGUGGCAAACGGGGUAGUAACACGUGGGUACUUACCCCCGAGAUGGGAAUAGCCAGUCGAAAGAUUGGAUAAUACCCAAUGGUCCCCGAGAGUAAUCGAGGGGUAAAGGUUCGCAAGAACCGCUUGGGGAAAGGCCUGCGGGCUAUCAGCUAGUUGGUAGGGUAAUGGCCUACCAAGGCGAUGACGGCUAGGGGGGGUGAGAGCCUGUUCCCCACCAAUGGCACUGAGACACGGGCCAUACACCUAUGGGUGGCCGCAGUCGAGAAUCUUCCACAAUGGGCGAAAGCCUGAUGGAGCGACGCCGCGUGCAGGAAGAAGUCCUUAGGGAUGUAAACUGCUUUUAUCUAUGAGAAAGUCCGCCUCAUCGGCGGGUUGAUGUUAGUAGUUGAAUAAGGGGUUGCUAAACUCGUGCCAGCAGCCGCGGUAAUACGAGUGCCCCGAGCGUUGUCCGGAAUCACUGGGCGUAAAGGGUGUGUAGGUGGCGCUGUUAGUCUUGUCUUAAAUCCCGAUGCUUAACAUCGGGGCUGGAUGGGAAACGGCAGUGCUUUGAGGAUGUGAGAGGUUGGCGGAACUCUGGGUGUAGGGGUGAAAUCCGUUGAUAUCCAGGGGAACACCAAAAGCGAAAGCAGCCAACUGGCGCAUUCCUGACACUGAAACACGAAAGCGUGGGGAUCAAAAAGGAUUAGAUACCCUUGUAGUCCACGCCCUAAACGAUGUUCUCUGGCUAUUCGAAGUAUCGACCCUUCGAGUGGCGAAGCUAACGCGUUAAGAGAACCGCCUGGGAAGUACGAUCGCAAGAUUAAAACUCAAAGGAAUAGACGGGGACUUGCACAAGCAGUGGAUCAUGCGGUUUAAUUCGUAGGUAAACGAAGAACCUUACCAGGGCUUGACAUUCCACUGAAUCCGCUGAGAAACCGGCGGAGUCCGCAAGGACAGUGGGACAGGUGCUGCAUGGUUGUCGUCAGUUCGUGGUUUGAAUUGUUCCCUUAAGUGGGGUAACGAACGCAACCCUUGUCGUCUGUUAUAAGUGUCAGGCGAGACCGCCCGUCCCAGUGCCGAUAUUGUCAGCGCGUUGAGCGCGUGUCCCAAAAGGGACUAGCUUGCCAAAAGGCAAGACAAUGUCGGUAGCGGGACGGGAGGAAGCGAGGAUGACGCCAAAUCAGCAUGGCCCUUUGAUGCCCUGGGCGACACGCAUGAUACAAUGGCCGGUACAACGGGUUUGCCAAGCCGCGAGGCGGAGCUAAUCCCAUCAAAGCCGGCCCCAGUUCGGAUUGGAGUCUGCAACUCGACUCCAUGAAGUUGGAAUUGCUAGUAAUCGCGGGUCAGCCAUACCGCGGUGAAUACGUUCUCAAGUCUUGUACUCACCGCCCGUCAAGCCAAGGAAGUUGGGAAUACCCGAAGUCUCGGUUCUACCGGGCCUAAGGUAAGUUCAAUAACAGGGGCUAAGUCGUAACAAGGCACGGCUAGCGGAAGCUGGUCGUGGAUAUUAUCUAAA
RNAcentral lists this ribosomal RNA (1601 nucleotides) under bacterium. Its description in RNAcentral is "bacterial SSU rRNA". It matches the Rfam family "Bacterial small subunit ribosomal RNA". The record is from RNAcentral.